AAAUUGAAGAGUUUGAUCAUGGCUCAGAUUGAACGCUGGCGGCAGGCCUAACACAUGCAAGUCGAACGGUAACAGGAAGCAGCUUGCUGCUUCGCUGACGAGUGGCGGACGGGUGAGUAAUGUCUGGGAAACUGCCUGAUGGAGGGGGAUAACUACUGGAAACGGUGGCUAAUACCGCAUAACGUCGCAAGACCAAAGAGGGGGACCUUCGGGCCUCUUGCCAUCAGAUGUGCCCAGAUGGGAUUAGCUGGUUGGUGAGGUAACGGCUCACCAAGGCGACGAUCCCUAGCUGGUCUGAGAGGAUGACCAGCCACACUGGAACUGAGACACGGUCCAGACUCCUACGGGAGGCAGCAGUGGGGAAUAUUGCACAAUGGGCGCAAGCCUGAUGCAGCCAUGCCGCGUGUAUGAAGAAGGCCUUCGGGUUGUAAAGUACUUUCAGCGGGGAGGAAGGUGUUGUGGUUAAUAACUGCAGCAAUUGACGUUACCCGCAGAAGAAGCACCGGCUAACUCCGUGC
Molecule: ribosomal RNA, 518 nt
Filed under: Salmonella enterica subsp. enterica
Lineage: Bacteria; Pseudomonadati; Pseudomonadota; Gammaproteobacteria; Enterobacterales; Enterobacteriaceae
Also listed under: 2 other names
Description: bacterial SSU rRNA
Rfam family: Bacterial small subunit ribosomal RNA
Source: RNAcentral